CGACGCCGACGCAGCCUCCGCCUUCGCCCCUGAACCCGACUCUAACGCCGACACCUCUCCGCCGGUUGCCUCCGUCGCCCCCGACUCCGACGCCGACGCCCCGCCGCCUCCGCCUCCGCGAGGGACAUCGACGACCUGCCGAAGAACGCGGCCAACUAUCCUGUCGGUCCUUUCGGCACGAAGAGGUGAUCUGAGCAGAGGCAAAAGGCGCCUUUGACUUUUGGGUCGGCGUCAUCGUCGCUGGUUCUCAAUUGGGUCGGGUCAUCCGUUGUCUUUCCACUCCAUGGCAAUGUUUUCCCAACUGGGUCAUAUAACACAACUGUCUUCAUUGGGCAGCCACCAAAGCCUUACUUUCUUGAUCCUGACACUGGUAGUGACCUCACAUCGCUCCAAUGUGAUGCCCCUUGUGUACGAUGCACCCAGACGCCACAUCCGCUUUAUCGACCCAACAAGGACCUAGUAAUCUGCAGGGACCCAAUUUGCGCGUCCCUUCAUUCAGGUGACUACAGAUCUGACCACCCAGGGCAAUGUGACUACGAGGUCCAGAAGGUUCUAAAAUUCCACCAAUGGAAAAGUCUCAAAAUGCUUUAAGUGUUGGUCCAUCAUUACGACUUCAAGGAUUAAACGAUGUUGGUCUACAUGGAAAAGGCACUGCUAUUGUCUCUGCUUCUGGAUCAUCAGACAGGAAUUUGUCUACCUCAACCAUUAUGGAAAGAAUUCCAAGCAGGUGGCCACAUCCUGUGUGGCAUCCUCCAUGGAAGAACUACAGGGUCAUAAGUGGGCAUUUGGGAUGGUCAUAAGUGGGCAUUUGGGAUGGGUGAGAUCUAUCGCAUUUGAUCCUAGCAAUCAAUGAUUCUGCACUGGCUCUGCAGAUCGGAUAAUUAAGGUCAAAGUUCUCAACAAACUUGCUUCAGCUCGAGCUUCAGGAGCAGGUAGCGGCAGCAGAGUCUUGACAGAUUUGAUAGAGGGUCUAGAAGAAGCAACUGUUGCUGUAGAAUUGAGGUUGAAGAUCAACCAGAGUCAUCCGGACUUAAAGGGAGGAUCUUUCCAAGACUAUGGAGAGGCAGUGUUGAAGCACUUGGAGAACUCUAUUGAUUUAGACCCAAAGCUUCAGAAAGCUCCAGUAAAUUAUGAAGGAGUCCGGGUAUCUGGGUUUUGAGGAUGGUUCCUUCUGAGGCUCUCGCUUCAUGAUCCUGUUCUUCCUCUUAACAUUGAGGCACCAACUCACGAUGACGCUGUAAACUUGGACUUGCCGUGCUUGGGGCUGUUAAGGAGUGAUUUUAGCAUCUACCUCUGUACAGUACGUAUAAUUAGUGCGUCAAUCUGACUUUGAGGAGGUUCAUUUUUCAGAUGGUGUUGGUCACAGGCACUCGAAAUACUAGUUGAUGGCUAUGUUUACUUUAGUUUUUACUUAUGUUCCAUGUAUGCUACAAAGAUGUUCUGAUAAAUAAGAAACGUUCUUCGACUACAGAAUUUGUCGAAGGGAUGUUUGAAGUUGU
Long non-coding RNA from Eucalyptus grandis, 1499 nucleotides. RefSeq lists it as uncharacterized. NCBI's taxonomy places the organism in Eukaryota, Viridiplantae, Streptophyta, Magnoliopsida, Myrtales, Myrtaceae. The transcript has 12 exons. The record is from RefSeq and is a predicted model, not a curated record.